GGUUCGAUGGCGUAGUUGGUUAUCGCAUCUGUCUAACAUGCUAGUAAAUGUUUCACAGAAGGUCUCCGGUUCGAGCCCGGAUUGAAUCA
Non-coding RNA from Lentinula edodes (shiitake mushroom), 89 nucleotides. The record is from the annotation of a RefSeq genome assembly. Lineage: Eukaryota; Fungi; Basidiomycota; Agaricomycetes; Agaricales; Omphalotaceae.